GGGGAAUAUUGGACAAUGGGGGCAACCCUGAUCCAGCAAUGCCGCGUGUGUGAAGAAGGUCUUCGGAUUGUAAGCACUUUCGGCGGGGGCGAUGAUGACGGUACCCGCAGAAGAAGCCCCGGCUAACUUCGUGCCAGCAGCCGCGGUAAUACGAAGGGGGCUAGCGUUGCUCGGAAUGACUGGGCGUAAAGGGCGCGUAGGCGGUUCGGAAGGUUAGAUGUGAAAUUCCUGGGCUUAACCUGGGGGCUGCAUUUGAUACUUCCGGGCUUGAGUAUGGAAGAGGGUCGUGGAAUUCCCAGUGUAGAGGUGAAAUUCGUAGAUAUUGGGAAGAACACCGGUGGCGAAGGCGGCGACCUGGUCCAUAACUGACGCUGAGGCGCGAAAGCGUGGGGAGCAAA
Molecule: ribosomal RNA, 398 nt
Filed under: uncultured bacterium
Lineage: Bacteria
Description: bacterial SSU rRNA
Rfam family: Bacterial small subunit ribosomal RNA
Source: RNAcentral